This 280-nucleotide ribosomal RNA is filed under the name Trochosa ruricola. RNAcentral's name for it is "partial 12S ribosomal RNA". Lineage: Eukaryota; Metazoa; Arthropoda; Arachnida; Araneae; Lycosidae. The record is from RNAcentral.
UCAAACCUAUUUAAAAUGGCGGCAUUUAAUCUUAUUAGAGGAACCUGUUCUUUAAUCGAUAAUCCACGUUAAUUUUCACUUCAAUUAAAAAUUUAUAUACCUCCAUCAUUCAAACUAAUUUAGUAAUAAUAUUUUAAAUAAAAUAUAAAAAGUUAGGUCAAGGUGUAAUUUACAUUAAAGCUAGUAAUGGGUUACAUUAAAAAUAAUUUAAGGAUUAUUUUAUAAAAAUAUUUUUAGAAAAAGGAUUAAAAAGUAAUAAUUAAAAUAAUAUUUCACUAUG